RNAcentral lists this ribosomal RNA (450 nucleotides) under uncultured bacterium. RNAcentral's name for it is "bacterial SSU rRNA". It matches the Rfam family "Bacterial small subunit ribosomal RNA", at positions 355 to 796 of the family's 1533-position model. The record is from RNAcentral.
UGGGGAAUUUUUCGCAAUGGGCGCAAGCCUGACGAAGCAACGCCGCGUGGAGGAUGAAGGCCUUCGGGUCGUAAACUCCUGUCGACUGGGACGAAAGCAGCCUGGGCUAAUAUCCCGGGCUGUUGACUGUACCGGUGGAGGAAGCCACGGCUAACUCUGUGCCAGCAGCCGCGGUAAUACAGAGGUGGCAAGCGUUGUUCGGAAUUACUGGGCGUAAAGGGCGCGUAGGCGGCUCGACAAGUCCCGCGUGAAAGCCCCCGGCUCAACUGGGGAACUGCGCGGGAAACUGUCGGACUUGAGUUCGGGAGAGGGAAGCGGAAUUCCGGGUGUAGCGGUGAAAUGCGUAGAUAUCCGGAGGAACACCGGUGGCGAAGGCGGCUUCCUGGACCGACACUGACGCUGAGGCGCGAAAGCUAGGGGAGCAAACGGGAUUAGAUACCCCCGUAGUCC